GUGGGGAAUAUUGGACAAUGGGCGCAAGCCUGAUCCAGCCAUGCCGCGUGAGUGAUGAAGGCCCUAGGGUUGUAAAGCUCUUUCACCGGAGAAGAUAAUGACGGUAUCCGGAGAAGAAGCCCCGGCUAACUUCGUGCCAGCAGCCGCGGUAAUACGAAGGGGGCUAGCGUUGUUCGGAAUUACUGGGCGUAAAGCGCACGUAGGCGGACAUUUAAGUCAGGGGUGAAAUCCCGGGGCUCAACCCCGGAACUGCCUUUGAUACUUGGUGUCUGGAGUAUGGAAGAGGUAAGUGGAAUUCCGAGUGUAGAGGUGAAAUUCGUAGAUAUUCGGAGGAACACCAGUGGCGAAGGCGGCUUACUGGUCCAUUACUGACGCUGAGGUGCGAAAGCGUGGGGAGCAAACAGGAUUAGAUACCCUUGUAGUCC
Molecule: ribosomal RNA, 425 nt
Filed under: uncultured bacterium
Lineage: Bacteria
Description: partial 16S ribosomal RNA
Rfam family: Bacterial small subunit ribosomal RNA
Source: RNAcentral